AGCAGCAGCCGCGGGAAUACCGAGGGUGCGAGCGUUAAUCGGAUUUACUGGGCGUAAAGCGUGCGUAGGCGGCUUUUUAAGUCGGAUGUGAAAUCCCUGAGCUUAACUUAGGAAUUGCAUUCGAUACUGGGAAGCUAGAGUAUGGGAGAGGAUGGUAGAAUUCCAGGUGUAGCGGUGAAAUGCGUAGAGAUCUGGAGGAAUACCGAUGGCGAAGGCAGCCAUCUGGCCUAAUACUGACGCUGAGGUACGAAAGCAUGGGGAGCAAACAGGAUUAGAUACCCGUGUAGUCCCUGUCUCUUAUAC
This 303-nucleotide ribosomal RNA is filed under the name uncultured bacterium. Its description in RNAcentral is "partial 16S ribosomal RNA". It matches the Rfam family "Bacterial small subunit ribosomal RNA", at positions 507 to 807 of the family's 1533-position model. The record is from RNAcentral.